ACACCUGGUCCCGCUACCUGAAUA
RNAcentral lists this unclassified non-coding RNA (24 nucleotides) under Chlamydomonas reinhardtii. RNAcentral describes it as "small RNA Cre_0201". Lineage: Eukaryota; Viridiplantae; Chlorophyta; Chlorophyceae; Chlamydomonadales; Chlamydomonadaceae. The record is from RNAcentral.